AGGUGGAGUGCGCUUUGUGGUCGAUUCAGGAAAGGUGAAAGAGAUGAUUUUUGAUCCAAAGGCCAAGAUGCAGAGGCUGCAGGAGUUCUGGAUCAGCAGGGCCAGUUCUGGACAGAGGAAGGGACGAGCAGGCAGAACUGGACCGGGAGUCUGUAACUGACUCUACUCUGAAUCUGAUUAUGAUGCUUUCGCCCCAUAUCCUGUUCCUGAGAUCCACAGGGUGGCACUAGACUCCCUCAUCCUACAGGUGCCCUCUCACAUUUGCGAAAACAAAUCUUUGGUUUCAUGAAAAUUAUAUAAAAAAAGCUCCACCAGCUGAAGCGAGACCAUGAGCUCCAGGAGAACACCAAGAGGAAAGUUCUGUGCCUGGAGGGAGACGCCUGUCUGGGUCUGACGAUGAGGGAGCAGGAUCGAGCAAGAAGAGAAGAGAUGAUGCUGAACAGACUGUGGACAUACAGGUUAGUUACAGUCCGAGGCGUCUGACAGCGCUGCAGUCUCAGAACCUGUACAUCGGACCGCAACUGGAUCCCGAUCUGUAUUCCGCUUCGGCUGUCGGCUCUGUUUCCUGGCAUGAAAGCCAAACCAGAUCCCAUUAAAGGCCUGCAUUUGUGCAGCUAAUUUACCUACAACUGUCUGUGUCAUGUUGUGUAGGACUCUUAAGGACCUGUACAGUGAAUGUUUACGCACUUUUUGGAGCUGCCCUCACUGUGACCUUUACAUGCCCCUGACGCCUUUGGAGCGCAUGCAACACGAGGCCACCUGCAGGCCGCCGGAGGAACAGCAGCCUGAGGAAGUCUAAAAGUGUACAAACGUCCUCAUCAUCUUCAUCAGGUCUGACUAGGGUCUAUCAUUGUGGCAUCUGUAAUAAAGACCCGACUCUCACCUCGACGGAGAUCCUAAAACACAAGCGCCAGCAGCUGUCCUGAGCUCACACAUGGGUA
Long non-coding RNA from Sinocyclocheilus rhinocerous, 941 nucleotides. RefSeq lists it as uncharacterized. The transcript is spliced from 5 exons. NCBI's taxonomy places the organism in Eukaryota, Metazoa, Chordata, Actinopteri, Cypriniformes, Cyprinidae. The record is from RefSeq and is a predicted model, not a curated record.